UUUUUUUUUUUUUUUUCAGUGAGAAUAUAGUAUUUGAUUGUAGGAAUGAGACGUCAAUAAUCAAGUUUGCUUGUAUGCUUAGAAAGCAUGUGAUGCCUGCCACCUGGGUGGUGUGAACCAGGCGUUUACCCUACAGUUAGACAGGGCAGGCUCCCUGCCUCAUGCAAUAACGCCUUCCACAAUACCUCAUAGCACUGGGGAUGCAGGUAGAGACAGCACCUUACUGACCAGGGGUUAGUGUUCUGGUGGUGGGGGUGCCAUUGGAGGCCUAGGUGCGAACAGGUGAGCAUGUACAGCACAUUCUAAGUGCUACUUUAUUGGUGGGUAGAGGGGGCCCUGGGAGCACAGCAAAGGGGUGCCUGGCCCCCUGGGGAGAGUCAGGGCACAUGGACAGUCAUAACGUGUUACAGAAUGAAUUGUGUCUUCCCCCCAAAUUCAUACAUUGAAGUUAUAACCCUGAGCACUUCAGAAUGGUUCUGUAUUUGGAGACAGGAUUUUCAAAGAGGUAACUAGGGCAAAAUGAUGUCCCAGGGCCAGGCCCUAAUCCAAGGUGACUGGUGUCCUUAUAAUAAGAGAUGGGGACACAGACACAUGCAGAGGGAAGGCCAUGUGAGGGCACAGGGAGGACACUGUCAGUGGGCCAGGAAGAGAGGCCUCAGGAGAAACAACCUCACUGGCACGUUGAGCACGAACUUCAGCCUCCAGCAGCCUGGGGGAAUCAGCUUCAGUGUUUGGAGUCACCCAGCCUCUGGUGUUUGUUACCCAGCCCCCUCUGACUAAUACCUAAGGUAACACAAGGCAUCCAAUGCCAGUGCAGUGACGAGAGAGUGGCAUUAUUAGGGGACAUGCCUAUGUUUCAGGACCUAAAGAAUGUCCUGAUAUUUAGGGAAAGUGGUUUGGGCUCUCAGAGACAGAGGAAGCUUGAGCUGGGUGGGUGAAACAAACCACUCCUGCAAGCAUCCUGCACGCGGCCCCACAGUUCAGCCUGCUCUUGUUCCUGGGAGCCUGGGCCCAGCCACCAGGGCCUGCACUUACAUGGUUUCACCCCCUCUCUUGUAAGGAUUUGUUUCAUCAUCUGUCACCGCAGUCCUAGAAGGCGAAGUGGACCCGGAGCUAGCUGGCAUAUUGUCUUUCAGCAGCUAAGUCGGCCUAAAGGAAGAAGCCUGGGCUGCUCCGUGCAAUGACGCGGCUAAGGGCCCAGCGGGGCCCUGACACUCAGGGACCCAGGAGCAGAGCUGGGGAGAGACAGGCGCACAGGAACUACAGGUGACACCCGCUGGAGGAGCGUGGCGCGGGAUGCGGGCUGGUGCCAGCAGAGCCGGAGCUCAUGGUGCUCAGGGCACCACCCCGCCUUUGGUCGUUGUUUUCCCGUUGAACAGUGUUGCAGAGGACAGUGAGAGAGGGUAAUGUGAACAAUGCAUCGCAGGUGACAGCUCACAGAGCGCCUCUGUGCCCAACCAGUUUGGCUCCUUACCGAGCUCGCCCGGGCCCCGGACUGUGCGUUCCAGGCUUUCUCUGCACUCGACGACGCCAGGCGGCUUUUCUCUGCGGCUGCCGACGUCGCAGGAAAGUGAAGCUACAGAGCAAGCGGCCUCCGCGUGGGUGUGUUUGAAGAGUGGGAGCGCGCUCCUGUGUGCCUGGUCACCCCUGCGUGAGCCGCGCUCGGCGCCCGUCUCCUCCCCGGCCGCCAGGGGCC
RNAcentral lists this long non-coding RNA (1696 nucleotides) under Macaca mulatta (Rhesus monkey). RNAcentral's name for it is "lncRNA (ENSMMUG00000052687.1)". Lineage: Eukaryota; Metazoa; Chordata; Mammalia; Primates; Cercopithecidae. The record is from RNAcentral.